This 253-nucleotide ribosomal RNA is filed under the name uncultured bacterium. Its description in RNAcentral is "partial 16S ribosomal RNA". It matches the Rfam family "Bacterial small subunit ribosomal RNA", at positions 524 to 776 of the family's 1533-position model. The record is from RNAcentral.
UACGUAGGGUGCGAGCGUUAAUCGGAAUUACUGGGCGUAAAGCGUGCGCAGGCGGUGAUGUAAGACAGGUGUGAAAUCCCCGGGCUUAACCUGGGAACUGCAUUUGUGACUGCAUCGCUGGAGUGCGGCAGGGGGGGAUGGAAUUCCGCGUGUAGCAGUGAAAUGCGUAGAUAUGCGGAGGAACACCGAUGGCGAAGGCAAUCCCCUGGGCCUGCACUGACGCUCAUGCACGAAAGCGUGGGGAGCAAACAGG